Molecule: ribosomal RNA, 486 nt
Filed under: uncultured bacterium
Lineage: Bacteria
Description: bacterial SSU rRNA
Rfam family: Bacterial small subunit ribosomal RNA
Source: RNAcentral
CUCAGAGUGAACGCUGGCGGCAUGCCUUACACAUGCAAGUCGAACGGCAGCACGGGGGCAACCCUGGUGGCGAGUGGCGAACGGGUGAGUAAGCAUCGGAACGUGCCUGGAGUGGGGAUAACGUAGCGAAAGUUACGCUAAUACCGCAUAUUCUGUGAGCAGGAAAGCAGGGGAUCGCAAGACCUUGCGCUCUGGGAGCGGCCGAUGUCGGAUUAGCUAGUUGGUGGGGUAAAGGCCUACCAAGGCGACGAUCCGUAGCGGGUCUGAGAGGAUGAUCCGCCACACUGGGACUGAGACACGGCCCAGACUCCUACGGGAGGCAGCAGUGGGGAAUUUUGGACAAUGGGCGCAAGCCUGAUCCAGCCAUGCCGCGUGAGUGAAGAAGGCCUUCGGGUUGUAAAGCUCUUUCAGCCGGGAAGAAAACGCAUGGGUUAAUACCCUGUGUGGAUGACGGUACCGGAAUAAGAAGCACCGGCUAACUACGUG